Molecule: ribosomal RNA, 465 nt
Filed under: uncultured bacterium
Lineage: Bacteria
Description: partial 16S ribosomal RNA
Rfam family: Bacterial small subunit ribosomal RNA
Source: RNAcentral
GACGAACGCUGGCGGCGUGCUUAACACAUGCAAGUCGUACGGUAAGGCCCUUUCGGGGGUCCACGAGUGGCGAACGGGUGAGUAACACGUGAGUAACCUGCCCACAACUUUGGGAUAACGCUAGGAAACUGGUGCUAAUACUGGAUAUGUGCUCCUGCUGCAUGGUGGGGGUUGGAAAGCUCCGGCGGUUGUGGAUGGACUCGCGGCCUAUCAGCUUGUUGGUGGGGUAGUGGCCUACCAAGGCGGCGACGGGUAGCCGGCCUGAGAGGGUGACCGGCCACAUUUGGACUGAGAAACGGCCAAGACUCCUACGGGACGCAGCAGUGGGGAAGAUUGCACAAUGGGCGCAAGCCUGAUGCAGCAACGCCGCGUGCGGGAUGACCGCCUUCGGGUUGUAACCCGCUUUCAGCAGGGACGAAGCUUUUUGUGACGGUACCUGCAGAAGAAGCACCGGCUAACUACGUG